This is a non-coding RNA of Anolis sagrei ordinatus, 988 nucleotides long. Lineage: Eukaryota; Metazoa; Chordata; Lepidosauria; Squamata; Anolidae. The record is from RefSeq and is a predicted model, not a curated record.
UUUCUUUUGCUUUAACAAUUUUCAGACAAGUAUUAAAAUUUCAAGAGAGCUUCCUCCUGGCCACGUGCCCUUAUGGGUUAUUCUGCUGAGUAUAUUCGCUGGACUUCUGAUUCUUACACUACUUAUAUUUGCAUUGUGGAAGGCUGGAUUUUUCAACAGACCAUUAAGAAAGAAAAUGGAGAAAUGAGAAGAAAAAUUCUCAAAGGAAAACUGUAGCAAUUCUACAAUGAUCAGUCCUCAGGUCUUCCUCAGAGAUGUGACUGUAAACAAUUGUUUUGUGGUCAUCACAUUUUUUCCUCCACAUCCACAGAGAAUACCUAACAUGUAAAGAAAAGAAAACUGACAAAUCAAAGGGAAAGCAUGGGUGGUACAGGGAGGACACUUUUUUUCUAUUCUUCUGACAUGGGAAAGAAUGAAAGAUCAAUGCAUAUUGUCCCAUGUGACGGAGUGUGUGUGGGGGAAGGGGAGGGGGCUUCAUUUUAAAAUGGAAAUACAAACUGCUUUUAAAAUUGGGAGCAUUUUAAAAACAGUUUGCGAUAAUGCCAGGAUAGGAAUGUGGGGUAGGGGGUGGGGUACUAAUUAAAGAAACGUUUUUUAAAAAUCACACUAUUUGGCUGCAGUCUUAGCACAUUUAUGAUUGCUUUUAAAGCACUACUUGAAUGCUGCCAUCACCAGUGCAUUUUCAUAUAAACAAGUUCUACUGAAUUCAGUAGAGUGAACUGUAUCUCGCAAUAAGAGAUUUGGCUGUCAGCUUGUAAUGUGCAUGGUAAACCUGUCUUCAUAAACGUGUCCUUUCACUGUUCUGAGAUGGAGCUGCAGGGUGUGAAAACUCUCAGUUUCCUUCUUAUUUUUAAUAAGUAAACAUUCAAAGCUUGGUACAUGACUAAUCUUGUAUUCCACCUCUUGGAUAAGCUAUUAGUUUGAGCAAUAAGAAUGUUUACCUGGAAAAUAAAACCUCUGAGUGUUAUCAAAUACAUGAUUAAAUACA